GCCGGCGUGGUAGAGUGGUUUAAUACAGCGGUCUUGAAAACCGCCGAUCCGCAAGGGUCCGUAGGUUCGAAUCCUACCGCCGGCG
Molecule: transfer RNA, 85 nt
Filed under: Caudoviricetes sp.
Lineage: Duplodnaviria; Heunggongvirae; Uroviricota; Caudoviricetes
Description: tRNA-Ser
Rfam family: tRNA
About the family: Transfer RNA (tRNA) molecules are approximately 80 nucleotides in length.
Source: RNAcentral